GAAUUACCUUCGUUACCGAGUUCAUGCGAACAUUCUUCAACAGAUUAGGGCUGUCGUAGUUCUAUUUUAAUACUCCAGUCAUUUUCUAAAUAUUCUCUAUUUUCUGGGCUUCUCUAACAGUGAGGUGAUAUCCUAACGCUUCUCAGGCUGCAUGGACUCCUUGUUCCUGGGUUGCUCAGGACGCUUGUGGAGUAAGGCUUGCCCAGCGCCCUUCCCCAGCUGGGCUUGGUCCCCUGACCGCCCAGCAGCUGCCUCUCCUUUCCCUGGAUUCUGGUCUUGAGCGUUUCCUCCACAAAUGUGCCUGAGAUUGGAGAACUCAAAGCCCCUCUGAGUCAUAAGGGAAAGUUAUGCACACUUAAAUUUAGCUGAACACUAAUUUUUAUAGUAUUGAUUUUGUGACCUCGAUAAACUUGGUUCAUGCUGGAAGGCAGUCUCUGUCCUUGGUGUGGUAGAAAGGCCUGGGGGUGAGGACCCACGCCAGACAGACGCGAGGCAGACACGGGACACAUGCCAGACAGGCAGACACGAGGCACGUGGUUCUGAGGGCUCCUCAGAGGCCCACAUGCCUGGCCCGCCCAGCCGCCCUCCCCCAGGCCUGCCCAACCACCUUCCCCUAGUCCUGAGAAACCCCCGACCGCCACCUCCCCCAGCCCUGAGGGGCCUGUGGGCUCCUUGUCGGGAGCAGGCUGGGCUGCAGGUGUCACCACAGCCUGGUCCAGCUAUAGGCUUCUCUAGUAUUAGCACCUCUGCCCCUCACAGUGCCUAGUGGCCCAGGCCCAGCUCUGUCCCCAUGUUACAGAUGGGGACACCGAGCCACGGCCAGGACCAGUGACUUGCCGAGGUUGUGGGCUGGGGUGUUCCUGGCUGAUUCCCAGGUUCUUGGCUCCCUGAAAGUGCGAGAUGCUGUGUCUGUGAGGUACCUGCAGCAUCGAACGCUUCGCAUACAGAACCAGUUUUCUUCCUCAUUUCAGCGAUGUGGCACCAGCUGGCUUUUGCUGACCAUCGUGGCAACAGGCUGAGGCUGUGGCCUGGGUCCACCACUACUCUCUAUUUUCCAGGGCAAGGCUGCAGCUCUACCGGACGCGGGACAUGGGCUGGGGCGUGCGGUCCCUGCAGGACAUCCCACUAGGCACCUUUGUCUGCGAGUAUGUUGGGGAGCUGAUUUCAGACUCGGAAGCCGAUGUUCGAGAGGAAGAUUCUUACCUCUUUGAUCUCGACAAUAAGGACGGGGAGGUUUACUGCAUCGACGCGCGGUUCUACGGGAACGUCAGCCGGUUCAUCAACCACCACUGCGAGCCCAACCUGGUGCCCGUGCGCGUGUUCAUGGCCCACCAGGACCUGCGGUUUCCCCGGAUCGCCUUCUUCAGCACCCGCCUGAUCGAGGCCGGCGAGCAACUCGGGUUUGACUAUGGAGAGCGCUUCUGGGACAUCAAAGGCAAGCUCUUCAGCUGCCGUUGCGGCUCCCCCAAGUGCCGGCACUCGAGCGCGGCCCUGGCCCAGCGUCAGGCCAGCGCGGCCCAGGAGGCCCAGGAGGAUGGCUUGCCCGACACCAGCUCCGCGGCUGCCGCCGACCCCCUAUGAGACGCCGCCGGCCAGAGGGGCGCUCGGGAGCCAGGGACCGCCGCGUCUCCGUUUAGAGGACGAGGAGGAGAGAUUCCGCACGUGACUGAAAGGUCCUUCGGGGCUGCGCCGCCGGCUUCCUGGAGGGGUCGGAGGUGAGGCUGCAGCCCCUGCGGGCGGGUGUGGACGCCUCCCAGCCGCCUUCCCAGACCUGCGGCCUCACCGCGGGCCCAGUGCCCAGGCUGGAGCGCACACUUUGGUCCGCGCCCCAAAGACGCUGGGAGUCCGCACUGGCAUCACCUUCUGAGUUUCUGAUGCUGAUUUGUCGUUGCGAAGUUUCUCGUUUCUUCCUCUGACCUCCGAGGUCCCCGCUGCACCACGGGGUUGCUCUGUUCUCCUGUCCGGCCCAGACUCUUCUGUGUGGCGCCGCCGAAGCCACCGUUAGCGCGAGCUGCUCCGUUCGCCCUGCCCGCGGCCUGCGUGGCUGGCGCCGAGUCCCAGGGGCCGCACAGAAGGCACGGUCUCCUGUCAGGCUCGGAGAGGUCAGGAGACCGACCCCACCACUAACUUUGGAGAAAAUGUGGGUUUGCUUUUUAAAGGAAUCCUAUAUCUAGUCCUAUAUAUCAAACCUCUAACUGACGUUUCUUUUCGAGGAAGUGGCUUGGUGGGUGCAGCCCCCGCCGGUUCCGUUGACGCUGGCACCUUCUGUUGAUUUUUUAAGCCACAUGCUAUGAUGAAUAAACUGAUUUAUUUUCUACCAUUACUGAACAUUAGGACAAACGAAAAAUAAAAAACAAAACACAGACAACGGUGCUGAUUCUGGUGUGGUUUCUACUCACCACGUGAAAUAAACUAUCAACUGUAUAAAGAGAACAAAGUGAUUUUAGAAUAAAAUGCAGGAAAACUUUUUUAAAAAUGUUAGUCUUGUAGUGUGAAUAAAUUUGCCAUCACCUUUUGUGUGGUGGCCCGGCAGGUCAUAUACUUUUUUUUGGCAUAUACCUUUUUAAAGACUGUAAUUAGUGCAGUAACAGUGGGGUUUUUUUUGUGCAACUCUUCUAAAACAUUCAUAAUGCAGUCAUGUUUAUUUUUUUCUGUUAAAAUGUUUUUGACAGUUUUAAGAGCAGUCUUUUGGCUCUGACCAUUUCUUGUUCUGUUUUCAAUGAAAUCAAUAAAAAAAAA
This 2739-nucleotide small RNA is filed under the name Pongo abelii (Sumatran orangutan). RNAcentral's name for it is "retained intron". The record is from RNAcentral. Lineage: Eukaryota; Metazoa; Chordata; Mammalia; Primates; Hominidae.